Molecule: ribosomal RNA, 454 nt
Filed under: uncultured bacterium
Lineage: Bacteria
Description: bacterial SSU rRNA
Rfam family: Bacterial small subunit ribosomal RNA
Source: RNAcentral
UACGGGAGGCAGCGGUGGGGAAUAUUGCACAAUGGGCGCAAGCCUGAUGCAGCCAUGCCGCGUGUAUGAAGAAGGCCCUUCGGGUUGUAAAGUACUUUCAGUCGUGAGGAAGGUGUUAAGGUUAAUAACCUUAGCAAUUGACGUUAGCGACAGAAGAAGCACCGGCUAACUCCGUGCCAGCAGCCGCGGUAAUACGGAGGGUGCGAGCGUUAAUCGGAAUUACUGGGCGUAAAGGGCACGCAGGCGGUUAAUUAAGUUGGAUGUGAAAUCCCCGGGCUUAACCUGGGAAUGGCAUUCAAGACUGGUUAGCUAGAGUCUUGUAGAGGGGGUAGAAUUCCAUGUGUAGCGGUGAAAUGCGUAGAGAUGUGGAGGAAUACCGGUGGCGAAGGCGGCCCCUGGACAAAGACUGACGCUCAUGUGCGAAAGCGUGGGGAGCAAACAGGGAUUAGAUACC